GUUCCCGAUGAUGCCUAUGUUGACCAUGCUAAUGCUGAAAUGUUUUGAUGAUGAUUCAUUGUACGUUAUGAGGGAAUA
Non-coding RNA from Musa acuminata subsp. malaccensis (wild Malaysian banana), 78 nucleotides. The record is from Rfam. Lineage: Eukaryota; Viridiplantae; Streptophyta; Magnoliopsida; Zingiberales; Musaceae.